This is a long non-coding RNA of Mesocricetus auratus (golden hamster), 406 nucleotides long. RefSeq lists it as uncharacterized. The record is from RefSeq and is a predicted model, not a curated record. NCBI's taxonomy places the organism in Eukaryota, Metazoa, Chordata, Mammalia, Rodentia, Cricetidae. The transcript is spliced from 3 exons.
GGGAAAGACAUUCAGUGUCUUCCCCUUUCCCAACUCUCUAUCCCAUCAACCUCAGACUUGCAAAACUAGUGUGUCAAGAGAGACACAAGAGGUUAGUCCUGAAGGAGAAGACCUGCCCUGCAAAUCCUCCUGAGAACUGUGGAGAACAGAGCUCUCCUAGCACAGAAAGAAAGUCCUGGGAGGAUCUUGCACUUCAUGAGUUUCCAGUAUUCCCUGAGAGGCUCUGAGCCUUCACCUGCAUUUCCAGCAUUACCAAUAACAACUUGUAAACAACUACUCUAUAUGAUGACAAAUUUCCAUAACCCAUUGGACAACCAAAAAUCACCCCCACAACUCUUGGGAAUUGAGACACAACUACUCCUGGCAAACCAAUUAUGUCUGAGAGGAAGAUGGGCAUUGAAGAAAC